GAGAGAGAGAGAGAACAAAGAUGUGUUGGGUUGUGUUUUGUGAUGAAAAGGAGAGAGAAUUAGGUAGGCAGCAAGCAUCUGGAUCAUGUCCCUACUGUGGAGGAAAAGUUCAAGCCGUGGAUGUUGAAACAAAAUGGAGUUUCUGCUUUUUGCCAAUUUGUUACAAAAUCAAGAGGAAGUACUUCUGUUCUUUAUGUGCCAGGCGUUUGGAAUUAUACCAAUGAAUAGCCACAGAAGACAGCUUCUUCUUUGCCUAACCAAGAAAUGCAAGCUUCAAUGGUGAUAACGUCAAGAUUCUGUGUUUGUUUUCUUCCUCUUGUCCUUCUUCUUUGAAUUUUUUAUUUGUUUAAUGUUGUAAAGUUUUACUUAACUUCUCUUUUACCCAUGUCAAGAAACUUUUCUUGGAUUCUUGUUUAAAUUGGUUAAUUGUUCAUACGAAAUCUGGUAAGUUUUGGAUCUGCUGAUGGAAAAAAAUAAAAAUUAGAACAGGGGAUCUGAAAUGGGUUUUCUGUGAUCUGUUUAUCUUUGAAUAUUUGCUUGAGAUUUGCAGGCAUAUCUCUGGAUUUUGAAAGUUAAUUUUCCAUUACACAGUUGUUUU
This 598-nucleotide unclassified non-coding RNA is filed under the name Hevea brasiliensis (rubber tree). The record is from RNAcentral. Lineage: Eukaryota; Viridiplantae; Streptophyta; Magnoliopsida; Malpighiales; Euphorbiaceae.